RNAcentral lists this transfer RNA (73 nucleotides) under Stegodyphus dumicola. RNAcentral's name for it is "tRNA-Ser". It matches the Rfam family "tRNA". Rfam says of the family: Transfer RNA (tRNA) molecules are approximately 80 nucleotides in length. Lineage: Eukaryota; Metazoa; Arthropoda; Arachnida; Araneae; Eresidae. The record is from RNAcentral.
GCCUUCGUAGUGUAGUGGUCAGCAUGCUCGACGCGAAAUCGAGAGGUCUGUGGUUCGAGUCCCGCCGAAGGCG